CGUAGGCGGCAAGGCAAGUCAGAUGUGAAAUCCCCGGGCUCAACCUGGGAAUUGCAUCUGAAACUGCAGUGCUUGAGUCCUGGAGGGGAUAGUGGAAUUCCCAGUGUAGCGGUGAAAUGCGUAGAUAUUGGGAGGAACACCUGCAGCGAAGGCGGCUAUCUGGACAGUGACUGACGCUGAUGCGCGAAAGCCAGGGGAGCGAACGG
RNAcentral lists this ribosomal RNA (206 nucleotides) under uncultured bacterium. Its description in RNAcentral is "partial 16S ribosomal RNA". It matches the Rfam family "Bacterial small subunit ribosomal RNA", at positions 570 to 775 of the family's 1533-position model. The record is from RNAcentral.